GCAUUAAGCACUCCGCCUGGGGAGUACGACCGCAAGGUUGAAACUCAAAGGAAUUGACGGGGGCCCGCACAAGCGGUGGAGCAUGUGGUUUAAUUCGAAGCAACGCGAAGAACCUUACCAGGUCUUGACAUCCUUUGACCACUCUAGAGAUAGAGCUUUCCCUUCGGGGACAAAGUGACAGGUGGUGCAUGGUUGUCGUCAGCUCGUGUCGUGAGAUGUUGGGUUAAGUCCCGCAACGAGCGCAACCCUUAUUGUUAGUUGCCAUCAUUUAGUUGGGCACUCUAGCGAGACUGCCGGUGACAAACCGGAGGAAGGUGGGGAUGACGUCAAAUCAUCAUGCCCCUUAUGACCUGGGCUACACACGUGCUACAAUGGGAAGUACAACGAGUCGCUAGACCGCGAGGUCAUGCAAAUCUCUUAAAGCUUCUCUCAGUUCGGAUUGCAGGCUGCAACUCGCCUGCAUGAAGCCGGAAUCGCUAGUAAUCGCGGAUCAGCACGCCGCGGUGAAUACGUUCCCGGGCCUUGUACACACCGCCCGUCACACCACGAGAGUUUGUAACACCCGAAGUCGGUGAGGUAACCUUUUUGGAGCCAGCCGCCUAAGGUGGGAUAGAUGAUUGGGGUGAAGUCGUAACAAGGUAGCCGUAUCGGAAGGUGCGGCUGGAUCACCUCCUUUCUAAGGAA
This 684-nucleotide ribosomal RNA is filed under the name Enterococcus faecalis. RNAcentral's name for it is "bacterial SSU rRNA". It matches the Rfam family "Bacterial small subunit ribosomal RNA", at positions 857 to 1533 of the family's 1533-position model. Lineage: Bacteria; Bacillati; Bacillota; Bacilli; Lactobacillales; Enterococcaceae. The record is from RNAcentral.